CAAUGGGGGAAACCCUGNAUGCAGCGACGCCGCGUGGAGGAAGAAGGUCUUCCCNAUUGUAAACUCCUGUUGUUGGGGAAGAUAAUGACGGUACCCAACAAGGAAGUGACGGCUAACUACGUGCCAGCAGCCGCGGUAAAACGUAGGUCACAAGCGUUGUCCGGAAUUACUGGGUGUAAAGGGAGCGCAGGCGGGAAGACAAGUUGGAAGUGAAAUCUAUGGGCUCAACCCAUAAACUGCUUUCAAAACUGUUUUUCUUGAGUAGUGCAGAGGUAGGCGGAAUUCCCGGUGUAGCGGUGGAAUGCGUAGAUAUCGGGAGGAACACCAGUGGCGAAGGCGGCCUACUGGGCACCAACUGACGCUGAGGCUCGAAAGUGUGGGUAGCAAACAGGAUUAGAUACCCUGGUAGUCCAAGGGCGAAUUC
Molecule: ribosomal RNA, 424 nt
Filed under: uncultured bacterium
Lineage: Bacteria
Description: SSU rRNA
Rfam family: Bacterial small subunit ribosomal RNA
Source: RNAcentral